RNAcentral lists this ribosomal RNA (497 nucleotides) under uncultured bacterium. RNAcentral describes it as "partial 16S ribosomal RNA". It matches the Rfam family "Bacterial small subunit ribosomal RNA", at positions 28 to 507 of the family's 1533-position model. The record is from RNAcentral.
GAUGAACGCUGGCGGCGUGCCUAAUACAUGCAAGUCGAGCGAACAGACGAGGAGCUUGCUCCUCUGACGUUAGCGGCGGACGGGUGAGUAACACGUGGAUAACCUACCUAUAAGACUGGGAUAACUUCGGGAAACCGGAGCUAAUACCGGAUAAUAUAUUGAACCGCAUGGUUCAAUAGUGAAAGACGGUUUUGCUGUCACUUAUAGAUGGAUCCGCGCCGCAUUAGCUAGUUGGUAAGGUAACGGCUUACCAAGGCAACGAUGCGUAGCCGACCUGAGAGGGUGAUCAGCCACACUGGAACGGAGACACGGUCCAGACUCCUACGGGAGGCAGCAGUGGGGAAUAUUGCGCAAUGGGCGAAAGCCUGACGCAGCAAUGCCGCGUGAGUGAAGAAGGUCUUCGGAUCGUAAAGCUCUUUUAUUAGGGAAGAAAAACAGCGGAAGUAACCCUGGACGUCUUGACGGUACCUAAUCAGAAAGCCACGGCUAACUACGUG